Long non-coding RNA from Nannospalax galili (Upper Galilee mountains blind mole rat), 2288 nucleotides. RefSeq lists it as uncharacterized. The record is from RefSeq and is a predicted model, not a curated record. The transcript has 3 exons. NCBI's taxonomy places the organism in Eukaryota, Metazoa, Chordata, Mammalia, Rodentia, Spalacidae.
UCUAGAGAAGCGGUUAAACGGGUUUGGACUCCAGGGCUGAGGACACCCUCAGGGCUUUCUUCAAAUAAUGACUUUUCUGCUCUAUGGUUCCCAGUGGCGGCGGCUUCUCCCACUCUUGGGAUCCUCGGAAUUCGGGGAUCCCACUUUACCCCAGCACCCUCCCCUGGCCCUCCUCUCCCCCUCCACUCGCCCCUGGGCUAGCCUAUUUUUCCAGGUCCUUCUCCACUCUCAGACAGGUUCUCCAAGUCCAGGCCUGCAGGCUGCUGAGGCCGGCCCUCUUCCCCAGGCCUGGCAAUCGGAUGUGAAUGGAAAGGGUCAGCCUCCCGGGACUGGACCACACACACCUUUGGGGUGCAUUUUGGUCUUGUUGGGUGUGCAGAGAAAAGGGGCCUAGGGAAUGAACGGCCUCAGCCUAGGUGCACCAGUUGAAGGAAGCCACCUUGACCUCCCUGGAGCCUGGGAGACCCUCCAGAAGUGUUGCCUUCAGGUCGCCAAAAUACUAUGUGCAGGAGAUUUGUAAGACAUGACCCAUUGAACCUGACUUGGAAGUGGGGUAAUGUGAGUGUUACAAGACUGCCUCGCAUCAUUUUAACCAUCCUCUUUUGUUAGUACUAGAACAAAGUGGUUUAGACUCAGGAAAAAGUCAACCCCCUAUUGACGGUGUACAUUAAGGAAUGCUGUCUUCUCUGCUGGUCCCAAGCCUUGCCUGUGGAGUUUGGAGUGAGUAGGGUCAAAACUGAAGUUUUGCUGGCUUGAUUAGAAGAUUUAUCUGGAGAGGUUCCGGAUUCUGUCCAGCGCUAUCGUACCCCGGUUACACAUAGUACCUGCAUAUUUGAAUUAGUAUUCUUAGAAAAGAUGUUUAACUGGGGCUGGAGAGAUGGCUCAGCAGUUGAGAGUACUGGCUACUCUCACAAAGAGGAUCUGGUUUCUCAACACCCAUGUGGCGACGCACAACCAUCUGUAACUUCGGUUCCAGGGGAUCCGACACACUCUUCCAGACUCCAUAGGUACCAGGUACCUCAUACAGAGUAAAAUCCCAGUUUUACAGUUUUGAAGAAUGACAGCAUGGAAGAGAGAGAGACACUGUUAAAAAUGGAAGAAAAGGUGCCUUCAGAGAAGAAAGAGAAAUGGGAGCUGAAAAAGCUGGAGCAGCUUUUCCCAGAACAAAAACAAGUCCAAGGAGCCAAAGAAGAGGAAUAACCCUAAAAAGAAGACAAGGAACUGAAACAGGAAUUAGGUGGGAGACGCCCUCCUGUGCUGCCCCCUGCUGUGUUGCAGCAUUUAUCUGUCAACAGUGCUUUGUAUAUCCCCCUCCCCACAAGUCUUGCUCACCUUUUGUUUGUUUACUUAGCACACAAAGCCAUGGGUUUCAUUAUGGCCUUGCAUGCACAGAUACCAUUCUGCUUUGCUCUCCCCCAUGGCCCUCUCCCAUUCCUCUCCCUGUUUUGUUGGUCCCUCUCCUUUCCCCCAGUGGUCUCCCUUUCUGUUUUUAAGUCUUUCUGUUGCCCUCUCCGCCCCUUCUCUCCUACUCGCAGACCUCUUCCUCCUUUCAGAAGCCCCUUUCUACUUUCAUGUCCUAGAGAUACACACAGUUACAUAUAAAUUUAAAUUCCACAUAUGAGAGUCAGCAUGUAAUAUUUGUUCAAGCCUUAGCCUAUUUUGCUGAACCUAAUCUCCAGUUCCACCCGUUUUUCUGUAUGGCUGAAUAAAAUUGCAUUGUGCACAUAUACCACAUCUUUAGUCCAUCUGCUGAUGGACAUCUAGGCUGCUCCCAUAGCUUAGCUGUGUGAAUACCACACAGUAAACAUGGGUGUCUCCCACAUUCUUUCUUAGAGUUAUUCGUAUUUUUUUUUUUUGCUACUUCUGUGAAUGUUUUCAAAGUUUGUCUGUUUGCUAGUGCAUAUAAUGCAUUUUAAUUUAUUUUACAUAGAAUGUUCAUAACAAAACUUACCACUUCAUAACUAUUAUUUUUCUUUUUGGAAAUAAGUUCUCACUAUGUAGCCCAGAGUGGCCUCAACUUUCAGAUCCUCAAGUAUGGCUGAAUAAAAUUGCAUUGUGCAUAUAUAACACAUCUUUAGAGACACUGUUAAAAAUGAAAGAAAAGGUGCCUUCAGAGAAGAAAGAGAAAUAGGAGCUGGAAAAGCUAGAGCAGCUUUUCCCAGAACAUUUACUCCAAAUACUUGGAUUAAAGGUGUGUGCUACCAUACGUGGCCAUUUUUAUUGUCCCCAAGUGUACAGUUCAGUGGCAUUAAAUACAUUUAUUCUUGUGUAAACACACAAUGACUUUU